This 460-nucleotide ribosomal RNA is filed under the name uncultured bacterium. RNAcentral's name for it is "partial 16S ribosomal RNA". It matches the Rfam family "Bacterial small subunit ribosomal RNA", at positions 338 to 795 of the family's 1533-position model. The record is from RNAcentral.
CCUACGGGUGGCAGCAGUGAGGAAUAUUGGUCAAUGGCCGUAAGGCUGAACCAGCCAAGUCGCGUGCAGGAUGACGGAUCUAUGGUUUGUAAACUUCUUUUAUAGGGGAAUAAAGGUCUCCACGUGUGGAUAUUUGCAUGUACCCUAUGAAUAAGCAUCGGCUAACUCCGUGCCAGCAGCCGCGGUAAUACGGAGGAUGCGAGCGUUAUCCGGAUUUAUUGGGUUUAAAGGGUGCGUAGGUUGUAUUUUAAGUCAGCGGUGAAAGUUUGUGGCUCAACCAUGAAAUUGCCGUUGAAACUGGAAGGCUUGAGUGUGUGUGAGGUAUGCGGAAUGCGUGGUGUAGCGGUGAAAUGCAUAGAUAUCACGAAGAACUCCGAUUGCGAAGGCAGCAUACGAAGGCGCAACUGACACUGAAGCACGAAGGCGCGGGGAUCGAACAGGAUUAGAUACCCGUGUAGUC